UACGUAGGGUGCGAGCGUUGUCCGGAAUUAUUGGGCGUAAAGGGCUCGUAGGCGGUUUGUCGCGUCGGGAGUGAAAACCCCGGGCUUAACUCGGUGCUUGCUUUCGAUACGGGCAGACUAGAGGUAUGCAGGGGAGAACGGAAUUCCUGGUGUAGCGGUGAAAUGCGCAGAUAUCAGGAGGAACACCGGUGGCGAAGGCGGUUCUCUGGGCAUGAUCUGACGCUGAGGAGCGAAAGUGUGGGGAGCGAACAGG
Molecule: ribosomal RNA, 253 nt
Filed under: uncultured bacterium
Lineage: Bacteria
Description: partial 16S ribosomal RNA
Rfam family: Bacterial small subunit ribosomal RNA
Source: RNAcentral